CCUACGGGAGGCAGCAGUGGGGAAUAUUGGACAAUGGGCGAAAGCCUGAUCCAGCAAUGCCGCGUGAGUGAUGAAGGCCUUCGGGUCGUAAAGCUCUUUUACCAGGGAUGAUAAUGACAGUACCUGGAGAAUAAGCUCCGGCUAACUCCGUGCCAGCAGCCGCGGUAAUACGGAGGGAGCUAGCGUUGUUCGGAAUUACUGGGCGUAAAGAGUACGUAGGCGGUUAUUCAAGUCAGAGGUGAAAGCCCGGGGCUCAACCCCGGAACUGCCUUUGAAACUAGAUAACUAGAGUCUUGGAGAGGUUAGUGGAAUUCCGAGUGUAGAGGUGAAAUUCGUAGAUAUUCGGAAGAACACCAGUGGCGAAGGCGACUAACUGGACAAGUACUGACGCUGAGGUACGAAAGCGUGGGGAGCAAACAGGAUUAGAUACCCUGGUAGUCCACGCCGUAAACGAUGAUAACUAGUUGUUCGGUACACUUGGUGACGUGUAGUAGACGACGAGACUAACGACUAUUAAGUUAUCCGUCCGUCGGGUAGGUACGGUCGCGAAGAAUUAAACUAACAAAGUAAGUUAGUACGGCGUGAGACGUGCCGACGACGACGACGACGGGAGGUAGG
This 618-nucleotide ribosomal RNA is filed under the name uncultured bacterium. RNAcentral's name for it is "bacterial SSU rRNA". The stretch from base 1 to 527 matches the Rfam family "Bacterial small subunit ribosomal RNA", at positions 338 to 873 of the family's 1533-position model. The record is from RNAcentral.